Molecule: ribosomal RNA, 573 nt
Filed under: Salmonella enterica subsp. enterica serovar Enteritidis
Lineage: Bacteria; Pseudomonadati; Pseudomonadota; Gammaproteobacteria; Enterobacterales; Enterobacteriaceae
Description: partial 23S ribosomal RNA
Rfam family: Bacterial large subunit ribosomal RNA
Source: RNAcentral
GGUUAACCGAAUAGGGGAGCCGGAGGGAAACCGAGUCUUAAUUGGGCGUUAAGUUGCAGGGUAUAGACCCGAAACCCGGUGAUCUAGCCAUGGGCAGGUUGAAGGUUGGGUAACACUAACUGGAGGACCGAACCGACUAAUGUUGAAAAAUUAGCGGAUGACCUGUGGCUGGGGGUGAAAGGCCAAUCAAACCGGGAGAUAGCUGGUUCUCCCCGAAAGCUAUUUAGGUAGCGCCUCGUGAAUUCAUCUCCGGGGGUAGAGCACUGUUUCGGCUAGGGGGCCAUCCCGGCUUACCAACCCGAUGCAAACUGCGAAUACCGGAGAAUGUUAUCACGGGAGACACACGGCGGGUGCUAACGUCCGUCGUGAAGAGGGAAACAACCCAGACCGCCAGCUAAGGUCCCAAAGUCAUGGUUAAGUGGGAAACGAUGUGGGAAGGCCCAGACAGCCAGGAUGUUGGCUUAGAAGCAGCCAUCAUUUAAAGAAAGCGUAAUAGCUCACUGGUCGAGUCGGCCUGCGCGGAAGAUGUAACGGGGCUAAACCAUGCACCGAAGCUGCGGCAGCGACACUGUG